CCUACGGGAGGCUGCAGUGAGGAAUAUUGGUCAAUGGGCGCGAGCCUGAACCAGCCAAGCAGCGUGAAGGAUGACUGCCCUACGGGUUGUAAACUUCUUUUAUAAAGGAAUAAAGUGAGGCACGUGUGCCUUUAUGCCCGUACUUUAUGAAUAAGGAUCGGCUAACUCCGUGUCAGCAGCCGCGGUAAUACGGAGGUUCCGAGCGUUAUCCGGAUUUAUUGGGUGUAAAGGGAGCGUAGAUGGGUUGUUAAGUCAGUUGUGAAAGUUUGCGGCUCAACCGUGAAAUUGCAAUUGAUACUGGCGGUCUUGAGUACAGUUGAGGUAGGCGGAAUUCGUGGUGUAGCGGUGAAAUGCGUAGAUAUCAGGAGGAACACCGGUGGCGAAGGCAGCUUACUAGACUGCCACUGACAUUGAGGCUCGAAAGUGUGGGGAUCAAACAGGAUUAGAUACCCGAGUAGUC
Molecule: ribosomal RNA, 460 nt
Filed under: uncultured bacterium
Lineage: Bacteria
Description: partial 16S ribosomal RNA
Rfam family: Bacterial small subunit ribosomal RNA
Source: RNAcentral